This 164-nucleotide unclassified non-coding RNA is filed under the name uncultured fungus. RNAcentral's name for it is "sequence contains ITS1, 5.8S rRNA gene". The record is from RNAcentral. Lineage: Eukaryota; Fungi.
CCAGUGGGGUGCCUCAAGGCGCCUUCACCCAUCCUUUUGUUUAAAAACCAUAGUUGCUUUGGCGGGCUUGUGCGCCCUGGUGCGCCGGCCAAUGGCCGCCCGCCGGAGUCAUUUCAAACCCAAUUUUGAAAAACAUGCCGUCUGAGAACAAUGAAAAUGAAUCA